UUCAGUUGCCAACGGUAAGGCCGGGCACUCUGGAUGGACUGCCGGCGACAAGCCGGAGGAAGGUGGGGAUGACGUCAAGUCAUCAUGGCCCUUAUGUCCAGGGCGACACACGUGCUACAAUGGCCGGCACAGCGGGAAGCGAGGGGGCGACCUUGAGCGGAUACCCUCAAAGCCGGUCUCAGUUCGGAUUGCAGUCUGCAACUCGACUGCAUGAAGUUGGAAUCGCUAGUAAUCGUGGAUCAGCCAAGCCGCGGUGAAUACGUUCCCGGGCCUU
This 274-nucleotide ribosomal RNA is filed under the name uncultured Thermovirga sp. RNAcentral describes it as "partial 16S ribosomal RNA". It matches the Rfam family "Bacterial small subunit ribosomal RNA", at positions 1110 to 1382 of the family's 1533-position model. The record is from RNAcentral. Lineage: Bacteria; Thermotogati; Synergistota; Synergistia; Synergistales; Thermovirgaceae.